RNAcentral lists this transfer RNA (76 nucleotides) under Rhodoferax sp. RNAcentral's name for it is "tRNA-Val". It matches the Rfam family "tRNA". From Rfam's summary of the family: Transfer RNA (tRNA) molecules are approximately 80 nucleotides in length. Their secondary structure includes four short double-helical elements and three loops (D, anti-codon, and T loops). Further hydrogen bonds mediate the characteristic L-shaped molecular structure. tRNAs have two regions of fundamental functional importance: the anti-codon, which is responsible for specific mRNA codon recognition, and the 3' end, to which the tRNAs corresponding amino acid is attached (by aminoacyl-tRNA synthetases). tRNAs cope with the degeneracy of the genetic code in two manners: having more than one tRNA (with a specific anti-codon) for a particular amino acid; and 'wobble' base-pairing, i.e. permitting non-standard base-pairing at the 3rd anti-codon position. The record is from RNAcentral. RNAcentral also lists the same sequence under 2 other names. Lineage: Bacteria; Pseudomonadati; Pseudomonadota; Betaproteobacteria; Burkholderiales; Comamonadaceae.
GGGAGAUUAGCUCAGUUGGUAGAGCGGCGCCUUUACACGGCGUAGGUCGGCGGUUCGAGCCCGUCAUCUCUCACCA